This 511-nucleotide ribosomal RNA is filed under the name uncultured bacterium. RNAcentral's name for it is "partial 16S ribosomal RNA". It matches the Rfam family "Bacterial small subunit ribosomal RNA", at positions 28 to 523 of the family's 1533-position model. The record is from RNAcentral.
GACGAACGCUGGCGGCGUGCCUAAUACAUGCAAGUCGAGCGGAUUUUCGGAAGCUUGCUUCCGAAAAUUAGCGGCGGACGGGUGAGUAACACGUGGGCAACCUGCCUGUAAGACUGGGGUAACUUCGGGAAACCGGAGCUAAUACCGGAUACAUUCUUCCCUCGCAUGAGGGAAGAUGGAAAGACGGUUUUGCUGUCACUUACAGAUGGGCCCGCGGCGCAUUAGCUAGUUGGUGAGGUAAUGGCCCACCAAGGCGACGAUGCGUAGCCGACCUGAGAGGGUGAUCGGCCACACUGGGACUGAGACACGGCCCAGACUCCUACGGGAGGCAGCAGUAGGGAAUCUUCCGCAAUGGACGAAAGUCUGACGGAGCAACGCCGCGUGAGCGAAGAAGGCCUUCGGGUCGUAAAGCUCUGUUGUCAGGGAAGAACAAGUACCAUAGUAACUGAUGGUACCUUGACGGUACCUGACCAGAAAGCCACGGCUAACUACGUGCCAGCCGCCGCAGUAA